UAGAGCUAGGUUCCGAAAAGC
This is a non-coding RNA of Caenorhabditis elegans, 21 nucleotides long. The record is from Ensembl. Lineage: Eukaryota; Metazoa; Nematoda; Chromadorea; Rhabditida; Rhabditidae.